GCGCCGAGCUAGAGCUGGAGGCGGCGCGGCAGGAACGCCGUGGGGAGGGCUACGCUGGUUGCUUGCUGCAGCGGCGUCUGUGCGAGCUCCCCUGGGGUGCUUUGCGUCUCCAAUCCGGGACCGAAGCCGCCGGCCGUCGCGAGCGGACGGAUCCGCGCCCCGCCUAAGGGACCGGAGGACAUGCGGGAGAGAGAAUGAGCCAGAGGGACACGCUGGUGCAUCUGUUUGCCGGAGGAUGUGGUGGGACAGUGGGAGCUAUUCUGACAUGUCCACUGGAAGUUGUAAAAACGCGGCUGCAGUCAUCUUCUGUGACACUUUAUAUCUCUGAAGUUCAGCUAAACACCAUGGCUGGAGCCAGUGUCAACCGAGUACUCUCUCCUGGACCUCUCCAUUGCCUAAAGGUGAUCUUGGAAAAAGAAGGGCCUCGUUCCUUGUUUAGAGGAUUGGGCCCCAAUUUAGUGGGGGUAGCUCCUUCCAGAGCAAUAUACUUUGCUGCUUAUUCAAACUGCAAGGAAACAUUGAACGGUGUAUUUGAUCCUGAUUCUACCCAGGUACACAUGAUUUCAGCUGCAAUGGCAGGUUUUACUGCAAUCACAGCGACCAACCCCAUUUGGCUUAUAAAGACUCGGUUACAGCUUGAUGCAAGGAACCGUGGGGAAAAACGAAUGGGUGCGUUUGAGUGUGUUCGUAAAGUGUAUCAGAUGGAUGGACUAAGAGGAUUUUAUAGGGGCAUGUCGGCUUCAUAUGCUGGCAUAUCAGAAACUGUUAUUCAUUUUGUUAUUUAUGAAAAUAUUAAGCAAAAACUACUGGAAUAUAAAACUGCUUCAGCGAUGGAAGAGGAUGAAGAGUCUGUGAAAGAAGCAUCAGAUUUUGUGGGAAUGAUGUUGGCUGCUGCCACCUCAAAAACUUGUGCCACAAGUAUAGCAUAUCCACACGAAGUUAUAAGAACAAGACUACGUGAAGAGGGAACAAAAUAUAGAUCUUUUUUUCAGACACUAUCUUUGGUUGUUCAAGAAGAAGGUUAUGGGUCUCUCUACCGCGGUCUAACAACUCAUCUGGUGAGACAGAUUCCAAACACAGCUAUUAUGAUGGCCACCUAUGAGCUGGUGGUCUACCUACUCAAUGGAUAGCAACAUCUGCCUGUCAUUCUAUAAAGAGGGAAGACCAAAAGAUUACAGUGGACCAUGGAAUAUCUAAGCCAGCAUGUGUGGACAGAAGAAAAAUCGUUCAGGAACAUGUAACUAUGCCUAAGUGGAAGUUUGAUUGUAGGAGUAUGAAGGUAGUCAGCACUCUUCAGAGCACUCUUCAGAUUGGUACAUACUUCUAUGAUAAAAUCCUCUCAGAAAAUUGAAUUGAACUUAUGCAGGUGAAAGCAGUAGGUACUGAAAAGACAUCCUCUGAGACUAAUAGAGCGACAGAUAGGACUCCAGUACCUGUUGGCUCGUAGAAAUGAUUACCUGAGUUUCAAAAUCCAAAUGUGAGUAUUAUCAACCCUAUGAUUGUAGGGUACCAGAUAGUGCUUUUAAAUCCAUGGAAAAACUAUUACCAAAGCUUUGUCAUUGUGUAUGUAAGUUUGUGGAACUAACCUUACUAGAUGGGGCACACAGGUAAUUGAUUUGUAACUUCAAAACCACAGCAGAAUAUCAUUAAAUUACCUUACCCUGCCUUUCGUCUCCUAACAAAACCCUAAUGCACACUGUGGAACAGCAUUAUUGUAUUAGGACCAGCAGAGUUUGAGUUGUUAACAGUGAUGAAUGUUUACGCUUAAACUAGAGUAUUAGUAUCUCAGCAUUUUUAGAUUAGUUUUAAAUAAGUAAAAAUGUUGAUUUGAAUUCGAAGGGUUUAAGUGCUAGAAAUUCAUCUGUUCUUUGUUCUUUCAGCAUUCAUUGUUCAUGCCUAGUACUAGGUUGUUUACAUGCUCUUCUGCCCAGACUGUUAGUACUGUAGGGACCUCUUUUGGGCUAAUAAAUAAAAUAGUUCAGCCUUUUCUUCCUCCAGUUAUUGAUCAUGACUUUAACAUUCCUAAGAAUAUAGAUAAUGCUGAAUGAUUUAAAUGAGAAGGAGUUUUAAUAUACAAAAGUAAUGCAGUGUACUUUCUGCCCACUCACAUCUCUUCUCCAUCAUGCCCUUAUAUUUCUCAUAUACACUGACUUUUAUGUGACUCUUUGUAGAAACUGAAAAUUCUAGUUUCAGUUUUUGUGUUAGAUUUUGAAUGUGUACCCCUGCAUAUGUGAACAAUUAAAUUAUGACCUGUCAGUCAUAGCUGAAUAGUCCAUAAGAGUUGAUAUCUUUCGGUUAUUCAUAUGAAGUUUGCUAUUUUUGCAUUUAUGUACAUGGCUGUAAAUUACAUGCAUUUACUCUGUAUUUAUGUUAACUAGCUUUUAUUUGAAUUGUUAAAAUUCAAAAAUAAAACGUGCUGAUGAAAAUAGUGGUGAUUUUUUUCUGUAGUGUAUUUUAAUAAUUUGGCUUAGGAUUAUGUAUAGAACAAAAGAGCAUUAUGAUGCUCAUUGGUCCAUUGAUACAGUAAACCUUUUUUUUUUUUUUUGAGAUUGGGAAGGGGGGCUUGCAUCUACUAGACCUAGUGGUAGCUCUAGAAAUCAAAGGUCAAAUCUAAUCAAAAGAUCUACCCACUUUACAUUUUGUCUGUUUCAUUUAAUUUUUUAAGUUUUCCUGAAUUGUAACUAGUAUCAAACAUUACCCGGUUUGUGAGGUGAGGAGACCAGGACAGAUUUGUCUUGUUCCAAUUUCUCAAAGUUAACAUAAAGCUGAAAUCGUUUGGUCUACUAACAGUACUCUUUCCACUAAACACUGAAAUUGUGGAUAGCACAAAGAGACUAGCAAAAUAGUGGUUGAGAUUGGUAUGGGUUAGUUCAAGAGUGUCCCAAGUUUAGGCAUGCAUGUAUGUUUAUUCAUUACUGAAUAUGAAGAGCUGUGAUAGAGGAAGGGAAUCGGUGAUUUCUUAAGGUUCAAGUGUGACAUCUUUACGACUGAUAAAAUUCAGACAAGCAAGAUGUAGUUAAAUGAUUUUUUCUUCAAUUUUGUUUAUUUUUCAGUGGUUUUUUUUAAUACUGUACAGACCAGCUGGCUACCUUAAUAAUAUGAAUGGAAUCAGUGCAGUAAUUUAAAUUCAUAGAAUUCUGUUACAAAGUAUUUUUAUGUGAUUUUCCCAACAACCUAUAGACUGAAUGAAUAGACAAAUGAUAUUUAGAGGAAUAAUAGAGCUGGGCUUUUUGACUUGAGUGUCCUGAAUAUUAAGUCCUGUUAUUUUUGUUUUACUCUACUAGGUUAUUUAUGGGAUGACACUGGAAGGGUUAAGAAAAACACCUCAUUUAAAGGAAAGAUCAUUCUCAUUCCUGAAAUUUUUGUGGAGUAGCUUAAUGGAGAUGGGGUUGAAUUGUGCUUUGGCUGAAGUUGAAAGCAUUUAUUCAAAAGGAUAAAUUUUUCGUGUAUUUCAUGGAGGUGGAAUAGCAUGAGUAAAGUCUGGGAAUUGGCUUAGAAUGAAACAUAUUGGGAAGUAAUGAGAAAUGGAACUGAGUAAAUUUGGACUAUAUGAACAGGUCUUAGAUCUGACCUGUGGAGCUUAGAUAUCCAUUCGGAGACUACUGCAGGACCACAGAAUUUUUUUUCCCAAAGCAUAGUUAAUAACAUCAUGGAAAUUUAGCGUUAACAAAUACUAGGUUCAGUAGGUCUUAUGUAACCUAUUUUCAGUUACACUACCUUUGAGCCUCAGUGAUUGCUGAAGGUGACCUGUGUUUUUGGGAAGUGUUACAGUGAUUGUUCAGAAAGAUCCAGAAAGUUUACAUGGAAAAGUUAGCAUUUUAACCAGACUUCGGUACAAGAAUAAAAUUUUGAUAGGCUGAUAUGGCGGGGGAGGCAUUCCUUACUGAACCAAACAUAAAGUGUUUUAGUAGUCCAAGUCAGGAGAAACUACCCUUUUUCUUUGAUUCCUAUCUCUUGGGAAUGGCCUCUAAAAGUAACUUUCUUCAGAUUAUGAAACUAGUGGUAGACCCAGAAUCCUAAACCAAGUCUCACUCAAAGGAGAUCAUCAUAUCCAACCUAAGAAAAUUUAGUACAAGACCCCUGUUUUAAACAGUUUGUGUAUAAAUUUUUGAAUGAAAAACUAAUUUACACUGUAAACUUCUACCUAAAACAAAAUUUUUUUUUAAAAAUCCCUGUUUUUCUGUUUCCCAGUCUGCUUCCAAAGCACCUCAUAAUUCCUCCUUGAGUCUUUCAUUGUCAGCUCUGAAUUUCAGCUUUCAAGAUUCUCCAGUAUAAUCGGUCUUCAUUGUAUAAAUCCAAGGUUCUGCAAUAUGGUUGAUCUCCAUUGUAUGAAUUUAGUGGCCUCACUAUGUAAAAAAAACAUUAAUGGUUAUUUGAUCUAUACCUUUCUAGGUUGUGUGCUGAUUUUUGGUUUCUUUUGUCCCCCCAUCCUUACCCCCAAUAAAUGUGGUGUUAGAGCAACUGGACAUCAAUAUAAAUAAAAAUGAACCUUGACCUCACCAUACACAAAACAUGGAUGAUAGGUAAAAUUAAAAUUGAAAACAAUAUCUUUACAACUUAGGGGUAGAGUUCACAAAAAGCACCAUAAAUUUUUUUUAAAUGAUAAAUACAACAUUAAAAGUAUUCAUAAUACAGCUGUCUGACAAUACGUAAUGAACUAAAAAAUAGGCAAAGGCUUAACAGGCACUUCGCAAAGGGAGAGAAUAAACACAUGAAAAGAUGCUUAACGUGAUUACUAAUACAAAUAACCAAAAUGAGAUACCACUGUGUACCCAGUAGAAUGACCAGUAAACUAACAAUACCAGGAAUGUGAAAACAACUGAAACUCUCAUACAUUGCUCUUGGGAGUGUAAAGUAGUAAACUACUGUGGAAAACUGCAGUUUCUAAGAAAAGUUACAACUACAUCCACCCUAUAACUAGAAUUUUUACUCAAGGAUAUUUUCCCAAGAGAAAUAAAUACGCCCACAAAUGCUUAUAGCAGCUUUCUUAAAUAAAGCUUAUCAAGAGAAGAUAAAUUGUGGUAUAUUCAUACAGUAGAAGAAAACAACAAAAAAAAUCAAACCAUGAAUAUAUGAAGUAACAUGGAUGAGUAUCAAAAACGUUAAAUGAAAGCAGCCAGGCACAAAAUUACAUAUACUCUCAUUCCACUUAUAUGAAGGUCGAGAACAGGCAAAACAAGUCUGGUGAUAGAAGUCAAAAUAGUGGUUACCUGCCGUAGGGACCUGGAGGAAGGAGAUUUGGCUAACAAGGGGCAUUGCAGAACUAUCUGGAGUAAUGUAAAUUUUCCAUCUGUUGUUCUGGGUAAAACAGGUGUGUACAUGAGUGAAAAUUUACUAGCUGUACAUUUAAGAUUUGUCCACUUUUAAACAUAUUUUUAAAAAUCCAAUAAUGCAAAAUACAAACUUAAAUUCUUGAGUAAAAGAAGAAAUAUAAGUGAAAGCUACAGAAUAAAACCCAUAAAGACCAGAUUACUGGAAUUAAUCACAGUACAGUUUAUAAAAUUAGCAUGCUUAAGAUUUCAAAAAUUGAGGUUUUAAAAAUAAUCUUUCUGGCAUAUGAGUUAGUAGGAACUCGGAGCAACUUGUCUACUCCAGCAGAACUAAAUCUCAGAUACAACAUCCAUUUUGAGGCAUUGCUCCCAAAAAGUAGAUUCCUCAGGAAUUUUUCCCCUCCCUCUUCACCGCUGCAUACACAAAGCCAAACAAUUAGAAAUGAAUUUGGAGUGGACAGGGUCGAGAGUGGGGCUCAGGCUUAAGUGACCAAGGGCAAUCGUGUAUCUGGGAUCUGGAGCGGAAGAGAAGGAGUGUCAGAGCAGGCUGGUGUACUCCAGGGGUGCUCCCUGGAUCCAGUAGAAGCAGAAUCAAAUCUAUGAAGGAAAACUUCCCCAAACUAGGUCCACAGAACUCACAGCAUUAUCUGAUGAAGAUAAUUAAACAUGUAAGGCCAGACACUAUGACUGCAGAAACAUGGGAACAACAGAUUUACGUACACCUCAAGGACUGAGGGUGUUGGAACUGUCAGAUACACUGAAUAUCUGUGAUUACAAAAAUGAGCAUGCAACAAGAAACCAUCAGGAAUACACAAACUUUAAAAAUUGACAGUAAAAAUGAAUAGUGUCUGAAAUCAAGAAUUCAGUGGAUAAGUUAAAAGUGGUCUAAAACCAAAAACCAAACCCACUGUGAUCGAGUCAGU
Trichechus manatus latirostris (Florida manatee) is the source of this 6193-nucleotide RNA transcript. It is a transcript of the gene named solute carrier family 25 member 36, with no coding region annotated. NCBI's taxonomy places the organism in Eukaryota, Metazoa, Chordata, Mammalia, Sirenia, Trichechidae. The record is from RefSeq and is a predicted model, not a curated record. The transcript has 8 exons.